AUGAACGCUGGCGGCGUGCCUAAUACAUGCAAGUCGAGCGAACAGACGAGGAGCUUGCUCCUCUGACGUUAGCGGCGGACGGGUGAGUAACACGUGGAUAACCUACCUAUAAGACUGGGAUAACUUCGGGAAACCGGAGCUAAUACCGGAUAAUAUAUUGAACCGCAUGGUUCAAUAGUGAAAGACGGUUUUGCUGUCACUUAUAGAUGGAUCCGCGCCGCAUUAGCUAGUUCGUAAGGUAACGGCUUACCAAGGCAACGAUGCGUAGCCGACCUGAGAGGGUGAUCGGACACACUGGAACUGAGACACGGUCCAGACUCCUACGGGAGGCAGCAGUAGGGAAUCUUCCGCAAUGGGCGAAAGCUUGACGGAGCAACGCCGCGUGAGUGAUGAAGGUCUUCGGAUCGUAAAACUCUGUUAUUAGGGAAGAACAAAUGUGUAAGUAACUAUGCACGUCUUGACGGUACCUAAUCAGAAAGCCACGGCUAACUACGUG
This 496-nucleotide ribosomal RNA is filed under the name uncultured bacterium. RNAcentral describes it as "partial 16S ribosomal RNA". It matches the Rfam family "Bacterial small subunit ribosomal RNA", at positions 29 to 507 of the family's 1533-position model. The record is from RNAcentral.